UUGGAAAGCAUGUUACAGCAAAGUGGAGGGAAUCUCUGCAUUGCUUUAGAUCCUAUCUGAUGCCAGCCUUAGCUUUCGAGUUGUUUCAACUUUGAAGAUCUCACAGCCCCUCCAUGAUCAAGCUUCAGGAGCAGAUCAAAGACACAUGCAGUGCCAAACCUCCACCCUAAGAAAUAGAAAGGAAGAAGAUCUCAGCCCACAUCCUGUGUUUAAACAAAGUUCCCACAGCUUUUCCAAGAUAACCCCUCCUAAGAAAGAAGAUGGGGCCGGGCGGUGGUGGCACACGCCUUUAAUCCCAGCACUUGGGAGGCAGAGGCAGGCGUAUCUCUGUGAGUUCGAG
Peromyscus maniculatus bairdii (prairie deer mouse) is the source of this 340-nucleotide non-coding RNA. NCBI's taxonomy places the organism in Eukaryota, Metazoa, Chordata, Mammalia, Rodentia, Cricetidae. The record is from RefSeq and is a predicted model, not a curated record.